AUUGAACGCUGGCGGCAUGCCUUACACAUGCAAGUCGAACGGUAACAGGUCUUCGGAUGCUGACGAGUGGCGAACGGGUGAGUAAUACAUCGGAACGUGCCCGAUCGUGGGGGAUAACGAAGCGAAAGCUUUGCUAAUACCGCAUACGAUCUACGGAUGAAAGCAGGGGACCGCAAGGCCUUGCGCGAACGGAGCGGCCGAUGGCAGAUUAGGUAGUUGGUGGGAUAAAAGCUUACCAAGCCGACGAUCUGUAGCUGGUCUGAGAGGACGACCAGCCACACUGGGACUGAGACACGGCCCAGACUCCUACGGGAGGCAGCAGUGGGGAAUUUUGGACAAUGGGCGAAAGCCUGAUCCAGUCAUGCCGCGUGCAGGAUGAAGGCCUUCGGGUUGUAUACUGCUUUUGUACGGAACGAAAAGACUCUGGUUAAUACCUGGGGUCCAUGACGGUACCGUAAGAAUAAGCACCGGCUAACUACGUG
RNAcentral lists this ribosomal RNA (482 nucleotides) under uncultured bacterium. Its description in RNAcentral is "partial 16S ribosomal RNA". It matches the Rfam family "Bacterial small subunit ribosomal RNA", at positions 30 to 507 of the family's 1533-position model. The record is from RNAcentral.